RNAcentral lists this ribosomal RNA (651 nucleotides) under Exophiala equina. Its description in RNAcentral is "eukaryotic LSU rRNA". It matches the Rfam family "Eukaryotic large subunit ribosomal RNA", at positions 166 to 831 of the family's 3401-position model. The record is from RNAcentral. Lineage: Eukaryota; Fungi; Ascomycota; Eurotiomycetes; Chaetothyriales; Herpotrichiellaceae.
GGGUACCGCCUCGGUUUAAAUUUCUUGGAACAGAAUGUCAAAGAGGGUGAGAAUCCCGUCUUGGACCGGCGGUAGGGCCCAUGUGAAACUCCUUCGACGAGUCGAGUUGUUUGGGAAUGCAGCUCAAAAUGGGUGGUAAAUUUCAUCUAAAGCUAAAUAUUGGCCAGAGACCGAUAGCGCACAAGUAGAGUGAUCGAAAGAUGAAAAGCACUUUGAAAAGAGAGUUAAACAGUAUGUGAAAUUGUUGAAAGGGAAGCGCUUACAACCAGACUUGCGCGCGGCGGUUCCCCCUUCCUUUUGGUUGGGCUACUCCGUCGUGUCCAGGCCAACAUCGGUUCUGGGGGUCGGUUAAAGACCCUGGGAAUGUACCUACCCUUCGGGCGUAGACUUAUAGCCCAGGGUGUCAUGCGACCUCCCGGGACCGAGGAACGCGCUUCGGCUCGGAUGUUGGCGUAAUGGUUGUCAGCGACCCGUCUUGAAACACGGACCAAGGAGUCUAACAUCUAUGCGAGUGUUUGGGUGUCAAACCCGGAACGCGAAAUGAAAGUGAACGGAGGUGGGAAGCCGUGAGGCUGCACCAUCGACCGAUCCUGAUGUCUUCGGAUGGAUUUGAGUAAGAGCAUAGCUGUUGGGACCCGAAAGAUGGUGAAC